CGCAAGGACUCUGCCCGGCCGGCCCCUGGUGUACUUCCCCGACACCAGGUUCCGGACGGGCAGGGCCCUGUG
Corynebacterium sphenisci DSM 44792 is the source of this 72-nucleotide regulatory RNA element. It matches the Rfam family "mraW RNA", at positions 13 to 91 of the family's 107-position model. The record is from Rfam. Lineage: Bacteria; Bacillati; Actinomycetota; Actinomycetes; Mycobacteriales; Corynebacteriaceae.